GAGAUUCUCCACGUGGGCAAUGAUACCAGAGGAAGAGGUACUUAUUGCCUUUAAAAUGGCCCAUAGCACUUAUACCCUAGACCCGUACGAGUUUGUCAGUAGAGGGUUCAAAGGGGGGAUAUGGAAUCCAAGAUACAACGAAUUCGAACUGAACUAUUGCCGGCUGGCCAAACUAAGAGAUUCUCCACACCGACCAUUAUACCAGAGGUAAAGGUUGGUAUUGCCUCUAAAAUGGCCCAUAGCACUUAUGCCCUAGACCCGUACGAGUUAGUCAGAAAAGGAUAAGGGGGAGUACCCUG
Molecule: long non-coding RNA, 299 nt
Filed under: Mytilus galloprovincialis (Mediterranean mussel)
Lineage: Eukaryota; Metazoa; Mollusca; Bivalvia; Mytilida; Mytilidae
Source: RNAcentral